UCUCAGGCUGGGAGCCCUUUUGUAUUAAGCAUGUAUGUAGAACAAAGGGACCGUCGCAAUUAAUACUAUAACAAAGACAGUUCUGAUACACAGAAUCCUCACUAGAGGCAAGUAUAGAGCAUACGUGUCACUGGCCAUACAAGUAUAAUACACCUUCUAGGGUUUUCAGAAGAAAAUGAGAGAAACUUAGAAAGCCAUAUGUGAGAGAAACAAAGGUUUUAUUUCUAAAGGCAAACUCUGAUCACAAACAAAAAAUAAGCCUCCUUAUAUAGAGGAGAGAUUAUCACUCUUACAAGCUACCGGGUAGACAAUUGGCUACCGACAUUUACAGAACACAAUUAUUAAAGCUUAAAGGAACACACUGUCAAAAGUAAAAGGUACAAUUAUUAUUGUAGGUGGCCGAUACUCUUUUGUCAUGGUGACCUUGAUAGGUUGUAAUUCCCGUGAUCAGAAUCAUCAGAGUCUACAUCCCCAUAAAAAGAUUGAUAUCAUGGCCCAUAUUCCUCAGGAGAUAGUGGUGCAGUUUGGAUUGCUUCACGUGUUUCAACGUCCAUAGGGUCUUGUGAGUCCUGCAAAAAAGGAUUGGUCCAGUCAAUGGGCUCUUGCUCUAGGGAAUGGACGGGUCCAAGAGAGGUACAUGUCACAUGUGGAGGUACAGGAGAGUGGUAAUUGUUAAUUUCGAAGAGGUAAUUGGCCAGCUGUCUUCUAAGUGAUCCCAUAACAUCUUUAUCUGUUAUAGUACCAUCAUAUGUCCUCCAUUCAUAUGCUGAAUUCUGUAACCAUAAGAGUCCAUUGGGCCUUUUAAAGAAAGGCCUGUGCAUGAUAAACAUGGACCUGAUUGUGGGGUGUGUUCUUAUGAGCAUUUCAUCAAUACCGUGGGUUUCUAUAAGUCUUCAGAGACUAUAUUGCCAUGUGGUUAUAGGCUUAAACCAUUCAAGGAAUCUUGACAAGAGAGUCCUUCUGUCGGUAGUGAGGGUGUACUGAUAAACAGCUUGUAGAGAAAAUUCAAUAGCUAUAGAAUACAGGGUUACCAUGCACCAGAGGAACCACAGUUCUUCAAGAAUGAGAUCCCUUUCAGGAUGAAUACUGAAACAGAUUAAGAAAAGACUGUUUGGCAGGAAAUAAGAAAUAGAGGGGAUUAAACCUCAAAGAGUAUUUCUAGCACUUUGGUAGUGGAAUAAGUGAUUUCUGGCGAACCUGAUAAUUUUUGGAAUAGCCAUGUUUGGAGAACAUCCUGGAGGAAAGUUGUCUGGUGUAGGGAUAAGGAACUCAGGAGUGUUGGCUGAAGAAGAUGAAGCC
This 1299-nucleotide unclassified non-coding RNA is filed under the name Hevea brasiliensis (rubber tree). The record is from RNAcentral. Lineage: Eukaryota; Viridiplantae; Streptophyta; Magnoliopsida; Malpighiales; Euphorbiaceae.